CCUACGGGUGACAGCAGUGAGGAAUAUUGGUCAAUGGACGAGAGUCUGAACCAGCCAAGUAGCGUGAAGGAUGACUGCCCUAUGGGUUGUAAACUUCUUUUAUAAAGGAAUAAAACGAGGCACGUGUGCCUUUUUGCAUGUACUUUAUGAAUAAGGAUCGGCUAACUCCGUGCCAGCAGCCGCGGUAAUACGGAGGAUCCGAGCGUUAUCCGGAUUUAUUGGGUUUAAAGGGAGCGUAGAUGGGUUGUUAAGUCAGUUGUGAAAGUUUGCGGCUCAACCGUAAAAGUGCAAUUGAUACUGGCAGUCGUGAGUACAGUUGAGGUAGGCGGAAUUCGUGGUGUAGCGGUGAAAUGCUUAGAUAUCACGAAGAACCCCGAUUGCGAAGGCAGCUUACUAAACUGUGACUGACAUUGAUGCUCGAAAGUGUGGGUAUCAAACAGGAUUAGAUACCCUUGUAGUC
This 460-nucleotide ribosomal RNA is filed under the name uncultured bacterium. RNAcentral describes it as "partial 16S ribosomal RNA". It matches the Rfam family "Bacterial small subunit ribosomal RNA", at positions 338 to 795 of the family's 1533-position model. The record is from RNAcentral.